AUCACUUCUCACCCUUUUGGUAAGAUCAAGUGUAGUAUCUGUUCUUAAAAGUUUAGUAUCUGAUAUCAGUGUCCUCUAUCCAAGGACAAUCUAUUAAAUUCUCCUUAAGCUGAUAAGAAACUUCAGCAAAGUCUCAGGAUACAAAAUCAAU
RNAcentral lists this small nuclear RNA (151 nucleotides) under Aotus nancymaae (Ma's night monkey). RNAcentral's name for it is "U2 spliceosomal RNA (ENSANAG00000009332.1)". The stretch from base 1 to 125 matches the Rfam family "U2 spliceosomal RNA". From Rfam's summary of the family: U2 is a small nuclear RNA (snRNA) component of the spliceosome (involved in pre-mRNA splicing). Complementary binding between U2 snRNA (in an area lying towards the 5' end but 3' to hairpin I) and the branchpoint sequence (BPS) of the intron results the bulging out of an unpaired adenosine, on the BPS, which initiates a nucleophilic attack at the intronic 5' splice site, thus starting the first of two transesterification reactions that mediate splicing. The record is from RNAcentral. Lineage: Eukaryota; Metazoa; Chordata; Mammalia; Primates; Aotidae.